GUUGGGUGUGGUGGCACACACCUGUCAUCCCAGCCACUCAGGAGAUUGAGGAGGGAGGAUUGCAAGUUUGAAGCCAACCUCAGAAAAUUUGUGAGCGCCUGCCUCAA
Molecule: small RNA, 107 nt
Filed under: Marmota monax (woodchuck)
Lineage: Eukaryota; Metazoa; Chordata; Mammalia; Rodentia; Sciuridae
Source: RNAcentral